GUUAAAAAGCUCGUAGUUGUAUUUCUGCCUAGUGGCGCAUGUCCGCCCAAGCGGUGUGUACUUUGCGUUCAUCAGGCCCUUUCAGGGGGAUGCUACUGAACUUAAUUGGUUGGUAGCAGAAUCUUGACUUUUACUUUGAGGAAAUCAGAGUGUUCCAAGCAGGCAAUCGCCUUGUAUAGCUCAGCAUGGAAUAAUAGUAUAAGACCUCGUUUUUAUCUGUUGGUUGCUUUGGCGAGGUAAUGAUGAAGAGGGAUAGUUGGGGGCAUUCGUAUUGCAUUGUCAGAGGUGAAAUUCUUGGAUUUAUGCAAGACGGACUACUGCGAAAGCAUUUGCCAUGGAUGUUUUCAUUGAUCAAGAACGAAAGUUAGGGGAUCGAAGACGAUCAGAUACCGUCGUAGUCUUAACUAUAAACCAUGCCAGCUAGAGAUCGGAGGUUGUUUAUCUUUGACACCUUCAGCAUCUUAUGAGAAAUCAAAGCCUUUGGGUUCCGGGGGGAGUAUGGUCGCAAGGCUGAAACUUAAAGGAAUUGACGGAAGGGCACCACCAGGAGUGGAGCCUGCGGCUUAAUUUGACUCAACACGGGGAAACUCACCAGGUCCGGACAUAGUAAGGAUGUACAGAUUGAUAGCUCUUUACAGAUUCUAUGGGUGGUGGUGCAUGGCCGUUCUUAGUUGGUGGAGUGAUUUGUCUGGUUAAUUCCGUUAACGAA
RNAcentral lists this ribosomal RNA (709 nucleotides) under uncultured marine alveolate. RNAcentral's name for it is "bacterial SSU rRNA". It matches the Rfam family "Eukaryotic small subunit ribosomal RNA", at positions 618 to 1335 of the family's 1831-position model. The record is from RNAcentral.